UACGGAGGAUGCAAGCGUUAUCCGGAUUUAUUGGGUUUAAAGGGUGCGUAGGCGGGAUCAUAAGUCAGUGGUGAAACCCUGCAGCUUAACUGUAGACUUGCCAUUGAUACUGUGGUUCUUGAGUGUGGUCAAGGGAGGCGGAAUGUGUAAUGUAGCGGUGAAAUGCUUAGAUAUUACACAGAACACCAAUUGCGAAGGCAGCUUUCUGGGCCAUUACUGACGCUGAUGCACGAAAGCGUGGGGAGCGAACAGG
RNAcentral lists this ribosomal RNA (253 nucleotides) under uncultured bacterium. RNAcentral's name for it is "partial 16S ribosomal RNA". It matches the Rfam family "Bacterial small subunit ribosomal RNA", at positions 524 to 776 of the family's 1533-position model. The record is from RNAcentral.